This 433-nucleotide ribosomal RNA is filed under the name uncultured bacterium. Its description in RNAcentral is "partial 16S ribosomal RNA". It matches the Rfam family "Bacterial small subunit ribosomal RNA", at positions 29 to 507 of the family's 1533-position model. The record is from RNAcentral.
AACGAACGCUGGCGGCAUGCCUAACACAUGCAAGUCGAACGAGACCUUCGGGUCUAGUGGCGCACGGGUGCGUAACGCGUGGGAACCUGCCCUUAGGUUCGGAAUAACUCCCCGAAAGGGGUGCUAAUACCGGAUAAUGUCUUCGGACCAAAGAUUUAUCGCCUUUGGAUGGGCCCGCGUUGGAUUAGCGAGUUGGUAGGGUAAAAGCCUACCAAGGCGACGAUCCAUAGCUGGUCUGAGAGGAUGAUCAGCCACACUGGGACUGAGACACGGCCCAGACUCCUACGGGAGGCAGCAGUAGGGAAUAUUGGACAAUGGGCGAAAGCCUGAUCCAGCAAUGCCGCGUGAGUGAUGAAGGCCUUAGGGUUGUAAAGCUCUUUUACCCGGGAUGAUAAUGACAGUACCGGGAGAAUAAGCUCCGGCUAACUCCGUG